RNAcentral lists this ribosomal RNA (200 nucleotides) under uncultured bacterium. RNAcentral's name for it is "partial 16S ribosomal RNA". It matches the Rfam family "Bacterial small subunit ribosomal RNA", at positions 1301 to 1500 of the family's 1533-position model. The record is from RNAcentral.
CAGGCUGCAACUCGCCUGCAUGAAGUCGGAAUUGCUAGUAAUCGUAGGUCAGCAUACUACGGUGAAUACGUUCCCGGGCCUUGUACACACCGCCCGUCAAACCAUGAGAGUUGGCAACACCCGAAGUCGGUAGUCUAACCGCAAGGAGGACGCCGCCGAAGGUGGGGUUGAUGAUUGGGGUGAAGUCGUAACAAGGUACC